AUUUGAUAAUCAUUCAUUUGUGAGCGAUUUAUUAAGUUUGUGAAGCUGUAAUAGUGAAAUAUUGUGUAGCUUAUGGUUGUAAAGAAUUCCAGAGGAAGAGCAGUGGAGUUCAGUAUCAUAGGUUUCCAUUUUCUCGUCCGGAAAUUCUGAAAUUAUGGGUGCAAGCAAUCGUAGAGUCAAGUGGUCACCUACUGUGUACAGUACUAUAUGCAGCAGACACUUUACCGAAAGUGAGGCCAGGAGCAUCAUUAAGACCGUUAAAAGAAGAUGCCGUCCCAUCUGUCUUUGAUUUUCCGAAACAUAUGCAGAAAAAGAUUACUGCAAGGUGACAGUUGGUUCGUAAAGAACCUGCUGGUACUCAAGAUGUAAAUCAUGCAGGUGUACAAAUGGAAAAGUCUCCUGAAGCAAUUGCUGAAAAUUCAGGCAAACCUCCCUUCAUCAACAAAAACAAAUGUAAGAAAGAAGAUGAGACGAUUGCAAAUGGCUGUAGGCUUAUGAAACAAAAACAUUUCGACAAUGGCACAGCUGAUCAAUGAACUUCAAAA
Molecule: long non-coding RNA, 545 nt
Organism: Schistocerca nitens (vagrant locust)
Lineage: Eukaryota; Metazoa; Arthropoda; Insecta; Orthoptera; Acrididae
Exons: 3
Source: RefSeq, a predicted model, not a curated record